CCAUCGACAUGAACAGCGAGUUGGAGCUGAGUGCUUUGUUGAUACCCCAGCCAGGCAUGGCCCCGAUUCCUCUGGACAUUUAUCUGAAGCAGCAGCAGCUUUGGGACAGGGCUGACACCAAUUUCACUUCCAGUCUAAAGCGACCCACCUUAUCUACGUUAACUGUGGAUGUAGCCAACAAGGAAGUUUCAUGCGUGGAUAUCAAGCCCCUG
This is an RNA transcript of Carlito syrichta (Philippine tarsier), 212 nucleotides long. RefSeq lists it as uncharacterized. The transcript has 3 exons. Lineage: Eukaryota; Metazoa; Chordata; Mammalia; Primates; Tarsiidae. The record is from RefSeq and is a predicted model, not a curated record.